UUCUUAAAGAGUUUGAUCCUGGCUCAGAGUGAACGCUAGCGGUGCGCCUAACACAUGCAAGUCGUACGCGCGUCUCAUUGUUGGUUUUCCAAAGUCUGUUUUCGUUAUUCUUGCUCAUAGGGCGCGAACGGAAAACGGUAAAGGGAAAGUGGAAAAUGAAAUUUGUUUUCCCUUUUCCCCUUUCCCCUUUCAGUUCGCCUCUCGCCCACUAGCAAGAUUAACUGCAAAGCACGAAAUAGAACCAAGAAUGAGGCGCGAGUGGCGAACGGCUGAGUAACACGUUGGAACCUGCCCCGAACUCAGGGAUAACCCGCCGAAAGGUGGACUAAUACCGGAUAGUCUCGGUUCCUCUUUGUACUUUUAUCCAAGUCUUAUGUUGCUAUUGAAGCAACAGAGAAAUUGACAAUUAACAAUGAACAAUUGACAAUUCUAAAGCGGCUCGAAGUUUGGUUGCUUUUAAUACCUUACGUAAUUGUCAAUUAUCAAUUGUC
RNAcentral lists this ribosomal RNA (491 nucleotides) under Patescibacteria group bacterium. Its description in RNAcentral is "partial 16S ribosomal RNA". It matches the Rfam family "Bacterial small subunit ribosomal RNA", at positions 1 to 216 of the family's 1533-position model. The record is from RNAcentral.